Molecule: ribosomal RNA, 731 nt
Filed under: uncultured bacterium
Lineage: Bacteria
Description: bacterial SSU rRNA
Rfam family: Bacterial small subunit ribosomal RNA
Source: RNAcentral
GAGCGGUAGCACAGAGAGCUUGCUCUCGGGUGACGAGCGGCGGACGGGUGAGUAAUGUCUGGGAAACUGCCUGAUGGAGGGGGAUAACUACUGGAAACGGUAGCUAAUACCGCAUAACGUCGCAAGACCAAAGUGGGGGACCUUCGGGCCUCAUGCCAUCAGAUGUGCCCAGAUGGGAUUAGCUAGUAGGUGGGGUAAUGGCUCACCUAGGCGACGAUCCCUAGCUGGUCUGAGAGGAUGACCAGCCACACUGGAACUGAGACACGGUCCAGACUCCUACGGGAGGCAGCAGUGGGGAAUAUUGCACAAUGGGCGCAAGCCUGAUGCAGCCAUGCCGCGUGUGUGAAGAAGGCCUUCGGGUUGUAAAGCACUUUCAGCGGGGAGGAAGGCGAUAAGGUUAAUAACCUUGUCGAUUGACGUUACCCGCAGAAGAAGCACCGGCUAACUCCGUGCCAACAGCCGCGGUAAUACGGAGGGUGCAAGCGUUAAUCGGAAUUACUGGGCGUAAAGCGCACGCAGGCGGUCUGUCAAGUCGGAUGUGAAAUCCCCGGGCUCAACCUGGGAACUGCAUUCGAAACUGGCAGGCUAGAGUCUUGUAGAGGGGGGUAGAAUUCCAGGUGUAGCGGUGAAAUGCGUAGAGAUCUGGAGGAAUACCGGUGGCGAAGGCGGCCCCCUGGACAAAGACUGACGCUCAGGUGCGAAAGCGUGGGGAGCAAACAGGAUUAGAUACC